Long non-coding RNA from Pogonomyrmex barbatus (red harvester ant), 657 nucleotides. Lineage: Eukaryota; Metazoa; Arthropoda; Insecta; Hymenoptera; Formicidae. The record is from RefSeq and is a predicted model, not a curated record.
UAUACAUUAUAUACAUUAUAUCUAUUAUUAUACAUUAGUCUUGUUUAGAUAUGGAGAGGUAUGAAAAGAUAUGAAAAGAAUAUGAAAAGCAAUGCAUUGAAAAAGAACAAGAAUAAGAAAUGAACGGAAUCGAACGGGAAAUUCUCCUAUAAAUUCAGAAUCUUUGGACAAUUUGGAGCAGCGUGUUAUCACUUGUAUGGGUUUAGAUUACAAAGGUACAAGGUUUUAUAACUUGUCCAGAUAGUACACCAGAAGAAGAGGAGCAUCAACUCGAAUUGGAAAAAAGAAACAAAGAAGUUCUUGACUAUCCACCUGCAGUAUCAUCUAUUGCUACAUUUUAAAAGAAAACUAUGAUACAAACAAUAGUAAUAUUGAAAUGUAUAAAAACAGCAAGUAUUUUAACUUAUUAUACAUAUAUUUAUUAUAAUGUAUUGUUACGACCGAGCGGUGUUCCGCUACCCUCAUACAUUUCCAACUUGAAGAUCAUUCCUUGCCGACACAGUCAUCAAGCGGUUGUCAAGCGUUGUUUUGGCGUUGUUUGGUCGUCGGCGCGGCGCGCGAGUUUGAGCUGUGUCGCGGCGAAUUAUUAUUUAACUGCGUAAAGCUCUUGUUAUCGCUCCUGUGCUUAGUGUUUAAUAAAGUAUAUUUCCUUUUUAA